UUGGCCUCUGAGACUACCCGGCAGAAGGGACGUCCCCAAAUGACACUCGGAGGCCGCCUCCCUGGGCUCCGGUGCUCGGUGCCGGGAGGAGCGGCACGGCUUUCUACCCCGCCUCAGGUGCGCCAGCACGUUUUCUGGGCAGCAUCUGUGUGUUAGGCGACCGGAGAGGUGGGUUCCUUAUAGGGAAUAAGAAAACUGAAACUGACUUCCAACUGCAGGCAGAAGGAAGCAGUGGUCAUUGCUGGAGGUUAAAACUGUUCUGACCGGGCGCAGUGGCUCACGCCUGUAAUCCCAGCACUUUGGGAGGCUGAGGCGAGCAGAUCACGAAGUCAGGAGAUCAAGACCAUCCUGGCCAACAAGGUGAAACCCCGGCUCUACUAAAAAUACAAAAAUUAGCUGGGCGUGGUGGCGCGCGCCGGAAGUCCCAGCUACUUGGGAGGAUGAGGCAGAAGAAUCGCUUGAACCCGGGAGGCGGAGGUUGCGGUGAGCCGAGAUCGCGCCAUUGCACUCCAGCCUGGCGACUCAGCGAUACUCCGUCCCCCUCCCCCCGCCCCAAGAAAAAUCUGUUCUGUGGGGAGCGACAAGGAAGGAGCUUUCAGCCCGACGGGGGUCGCAGGGAAGAAUUCAAGAUGGCGUGUUUAGGAGCUCUAGCUCCUUGACAAAUUAGUAAAAUGUUCGUCUUAGGAGAAGAACGAAAAGGCUCUCCUAGGCUAAGAAACAGCAUACACAGUGAGAAACCUCAGAAGAAAUAAAAUUCAAGGAAGAUAGCAACAACGAAAACAUCAGAAGGAACACUAAAGUAGUCAAAUCAGCUUAGCAGAAACAAACUAAGUACGUUAACCAAUGGAAAACUGACGGAGAGAAAUAAACUGUUUUUGCACGCUAAAUGGAAAUGACUUUUGAAUUAUCUGCUUUGGAAGAUUAUCCAUGACACUGUUCUGCCCUGCUCUGCUCUAACAACAUUUGUAAGUCACUCAACAGUUAAUAAUAAAAGUCAGUUUUGAAUAUUGCAUGUUUUAGACACAGAACAAAUGUAAUGUGACACUGUAGGAAGAAUGAAUUCUCCUUAGUCCCAAAUUCCUUCUUUUUUUCUUAGAUUCGGGAAUAAGUAGGUAAAGAUACAAGAUUCUCUUAACCAGUAUCAGUAUAAUUGUUCCCUUUAGAUUUAUUGCUGUCACCCCAAUGCUCUUCUUUCUUUCUAGAGGAAAGGAAAAGAAGGAGGUAAUAGGAAAAGUAAUGGGUUGUCCUGAUGUUACUGUGUCUAGGAUGUCAUUGCCACUGGUCUCCUCAGAUCAAUCAUUCUGCCUAAUAAACAGAAAAAUAACAUGGGCAGCCUCACAUGCAAGCCUUUACACACACUGCUAAAGAGACCUCGCUUCCUCUGAGAAGUGAGGAUGUGAGAAUGAGGGAUUGAUUUUACAGAACUGGAUGACAGGUUAAAUUGGGCAUCUGGAGGUUUAUAUUCCCAUCUCCACUCACCAAGUUUCAUCCUCCAUUUAUGACCAAGGAUAGGUAUAACAUCUGAUCUUGAUGGUUACUGUUUCAAAAAACAAUCUGAUCUUUUUUAUAAAGUUAAACAUUUACUUAAUCAUGCAGCAUACUAAUUCCCACUCCUGGGUAUUUAUCCAAGUGACAUAAAAACAAGUUCACACAAAACCUGUAAACACAUAUAUGUCUUUAUUCAUAUAAUAGAAAAAACACAAACCCUAAAAUGGAAAAAACAUAAUGUCCUUCACCUGGUGAUAUGGUUUGGUUCUGUGUCCCCACCCAAAUCUCAUCUCAAAUUGUAAUACCCACGUGUUGAAGGAAGGACCUAUAUUAUACUUCACGUGUCAAGGGAGGGAAGUGAUUGGAUGAUGGGGGCGGUUUCCCCCAUGCUGUUCUUGUGAUAGUGCAUGAAUUCUCACCAGAGAUGAUGGUUUUAAAAGUGUUUGGCAGUUCUUCCUUCAUUCACACACACUCACUGUCUCUCCCCUGUGCCACAUAAGAUGAACUUGCUUCCCCUUCUACCAUAACUGUAAGUUUCUGAAGUCCUCCCCAGCCAUGCAGAACUAUAAGUAAAUUAAACCUCUUUUCUUUAUAAAUUACCUAGUCUCAGGUAUGUCUUUAUAGCAGUGUGAAAAUAGGCUAAUACAUCUGGUGAAUCAAUAAUUAAAAUGUAGCAUAGCUAUAAAUGGAAUACUACUCAGUAAUAAAAGAAUAACUCAAUACAUACAAUAAUAUUGAUGAAUCUCAAAUGCAUUAUGGGAAGUAAAAGAAGCCAGGCUCCUCUUAUGUGACAUUCUGGAAAAAGGAAGACUAUACGGUCAGAAAACAGAUCAGUGUUUGCCAGGACUUGGGGAUGGGGGGUGGGGAGUGAUUGACUACAAAAGGGCAUGAAGAAAUUUUGAAGGGGAGG
Molecule: long non-coding RNA, 2398 nt
Filed under: Pan troglodytes (chimpanzee)
Lineage: Eukaryota; Metazoa; Chordata; Mammalia; Primates; Hominidae
Description: long non-coding RNA NONPTRT001206
Source: RNAcentral